GAAAUCCAUAUUUUAGAAUUUUAGCUGUAUAAAAGUUUAAACAGAUCACCAGCACUUGUGUUAUUAGCUGGCACAACACCAUUUACUUUAUCCUUUUUAGUUAUUAGUUUGAACUUUGAAACAGAUAAAAAGUUAGAAUAUAUUUUCGUUUUUAUAUAUAGUAUUAGAUAUCAAUUUAAUAAAAUUAAAAAAAAAAAAAAAAAUCGUGUAUCGAAAUUUCUUACAGACUAGUGAGGGGUUUGACUUAUGAUUAGAAUCCAAAGAGAAGUUAAUACAGAAGAAGACGAAGUCAUAAUUAAAAUUGACGAGCAGCUUUUUUGGUUAGUCACGUCAUGUGAAGACGAAGGCGAGAUGAUGAAGAAGAAGAAGAGGAAGAGGUAAUGGAGAGAUCAUUAAUGAGGAGAGGGUCACACGAUACAGUUCACUGAAUCUCUCUAUGUAACCCCACAAACCCUCACGCAUAUCAUAGCUUCUGCAUGCAAACAAGCCUCGAUCCAUUAACCACAGACUUGUCCGUCUCCUCCUCCUCCUCCUCCUUCUUCUUCUUUUUUCUCAUACACACACA
RNAcentral lists this long non-coding RNA (565 nucleotides) under Capsella rubella. RNAcentral describes it as "long non-coding RNA (CRUB_LNC001174)". Lineage: Eukaryota; Viridiplantae; Streptophyta; Magnoliopsida; Brassicales; Brassicaceae. The record is from RNAcentral.